GGAAGAUCGUCAUCUCCGGUGAGGUGGCUGGACUUCAAAUUCAGUUGGGGGCGCCAGCGUUCCCGGGCAGGUUCGACUCCUGUGAUCUUCCGCCA
This 95-nucleotide transfer RNA is filed under the name Citrobacter freundii. Its description in RNAcentral is "tRNA-Sec". It matches the Rfam family "Selenocysteine transfer RNA". Lineage: Bacteria; Pseudomonadati; Pseudomonadota; Gammaproteobacteria; Enterobacterales; Enterobacteriaceae. The record is from RNAcentral.